This is a long non-coding RNA of Hyla sarda, 976 nucleotides long. RefSeq lists it as uncharacterized. The record is from RefSeq and is a predicted model, not a curated record. The transcript is spliced from 3 exons. Lineage: Eukaryota; Metazoa; Chordata; Amphibia; Anura; Hylidae.
CUUACCGUGGUGGGAUGGUACACACUAUUUGGCCAAAUGGUAUGCUAAGAACCUGCAUGUUAUACCUUGAGCAGCUGAAACAGUCUAACCACAGCCACCAUCAGCCCUUGGCAGCUGUUUUUGAUGAGGUUACCUUAUCAUGGUAGGAUAGUACACACUAUUUGGACAAAUAGUAUGCUAAGAACCUCAAUAGAUUUAUUUAAAAAAAUAUAUGCACCCACUGUUGUCACUUGAGCCACUGCAUAUUAGUCUAUUAUCCUUUCAGUUGCAUCAACAUAGUAUAAUGAGCAUAUCUGCCAACAGCUCUUUGCCGCUGUGUAAAAAAAUAUAUAUAUAUAUGGGCGCUACAAAAUAGUCUAAAUACCACAGCUUCCAUUAGUUCUUGGGUGCUGAAGAAAAGACUACUUUAACACGAAAAAAUCCAUAAUUUUGCUUAUAACAGCAAUAAAAAGCUAUUCGCUUGUCACUUGAAGGUAUAACUGUUCAUGACCCCCCUCAAAUUAUAGAUCCUAACUAUAUCGUGCUAAUGGAUCAGUGGUAGACUGUGGUUAUUGGUUACCUUACAGUUGCUCUUAAAGAAGUCAGUGGUUCCAAAGAUUAGCAUUUUAUAGUAUAUUCACAAUUACUUUAAUAACAUACUGUGUUUCUUUUGUAGGUUUGACUAGUAGACCAUGGGAAGUACCUUAAACAACUUCUUACAUCACCAUACUCAAGUCAUUCAAUCAUGACUGCAUAAGGCACGUCACAUCUAGCCAAAAUCCUAUGGUAUGAAGUUUAUUCUACUACUUGGUAUAGAAGACCAUGGAAAGAACACUCCAGUCACUGUUAGCAUAAGACGUGACAUCUAGCCAAAACCAUAUGAUCCUCACUGACUUGGCACUUUGAAUUUCUGCACUUUCUGUUCCGUGAAGUAAUCCACUGUUUCUGUGAAAUAUAAUUACUUUUUUUCUGUAAAUAAAAUUUUAUUUCAUUUUUA